ACGGCAGGGUCCAUCGACGCCUGCCCUUGCGUUGCCAUCGGAUCUUCUAAAUCACCUCCUUCUCUACCUAAGAGCCCGAUUCCUCCAAACAAAAAACCCUAGAAAUCAAAAUGGCUAAAAAGUUCUUGACGAUUAUUUGGUCUUGGAGUCGUUAUUGGUAUGCCUUUUUUCAGUUUCGUGCCUUGGUGUGCUGUGCGCGUUCAAAAAACUCUCGCUUGUCGGGUGGGGCAGGGGGACAAUAAAAAUAAAAAUUAAAAUAAAUAAAUAAAAGAUGAAGGUAUUUUCUCGGGAAAAAGAGUGGGAAAGAGGAAGAAAAUAAUAAUUUAAAGAUUUC
This 334-nucleotide unclassified non-coding RNA is filed under the name Hevea brasiliensis (rubber tree). Lineage: Eukaryota; Viridiplantae; Streptophyta; Magnoliopsida; Malpighiales; Euphorbiaceae. The record is from RNAcentral.